CGGGGUGCAGCAGGCGAGAAAACUUUGCAAUGUGCGAAAGCACGACAAGGUUAGUCCGAGUGAUUUCUGCUAAAGAGAUCUUUUGCUAGUUAUAAAACCACUAGUGAAUAAGGGGUGGGCAAAUUCUGGUGUCAGCCGCCGCGGUAAAACCAGCACCUCAAGUGGUCAGGAUGAUUAUUGGGCCUAAAGCAUCCGUAGCCGGCUCUGUAAGUUUUCGGUUAAAUCCAUGUGCUCAACGCAUGGGCUGCCGAAAAUACUGCAGAGAUAGGGAGUGGGAGAGGUAGACGGUACUCGGUAGGAAGGGGUAAAAUCCUUUGAUCUAUCGAUGACCACCUGUGGCGAAGGCGGUCUACCAGAACACGUUCGACGGUGAGGGAUGAAAGCUGGGGGAGCAAACCGGAUUAGAUACCCGGGUAGUCCCAGCUGUAAACGAUGCAGACUCGAUGAUGCAUUGGCAUAUAGCCAGUGCAGUGUCGCAGGGAAGCCGUUAAGUCUGCCGCCUGGGAAGUACGUACGCAAGUAUGAAACUUAAAGGAAUUGGCGGGGGAGCA
RNAcentral lists this ribosomal RNA (551 nucleotides) under uncultured Nitrososphaerota archaeon. RNAcentral's name for it is "bacterial SSU rRNA". It matches the Rfam family "Archaeal small subunit ribosomal RNA", at positions 326 to 878 of the family's 1478-position model. Lineage: Archaea; Thermoproteati; Nitrososphaerota. The record is from RNAcentral.